RNAcentral lists this ribosomal RNA (265 nucleotides) under uncultured bacterium. Its description in RNAcentral is "partial 16S ribosomal RNA". It matches the Rfam family "Bacterial small subunit ribosomal RNA", at positions 88 to 354 of the family's 1533-position model. The record is from RNAcentral.
CCGGCGACCGGCGCACGGGUGAGUAACACGUAUGCAACCUGCCCUCUUCAGGGGGACAACCUUCCGAAAGGGAGGCUAAUCCCGCGUAUAUCGGUUUCGGGCAUCCGAGAUCGAGGAAAGAUUCAUCGGAAGAGGAUGGGCAUGCGUCGCAUUAGCUAGACGGCGGGGUAACGGCCCACCGUGGCGACGAUGCGUAGGGGUUCUGAGAGGAAGGUCCCCCACACUGGUACUGAGACACGGACCAGACUCCUACGGGAGGCAGCAG